CCCUUAGAUGUUCUGGGCCGCACGCGCGCUACACUGAUGCAUUCAACGAGUUACCUUGGCCGAGAGGCCUGGGCAAUCUUUUGAACGUGCAUCGUGAUAGGGAUAGAUUAUUGCAAUUAUUAAUCUUGAACGAGGAAUUCCUAGUAGACGUAGUUCAUCAGACUGCAUCGAUUACGUCCCUGCCCUUUGUACACACCGCCCGUCGCUCCUACCGAUUGAAUGCUCAGGUGAGCCAUUCGGACUUUCAUCAUGCUGGUUUCCAGUUUUGAUGAAGGAAAGUCUUGCGAACCUUAUCAUUUAGAGGAAGGAGAAGUCGUAACA
RNAcentral lists this ribosomal RNA (321 nucleotides) under uncultured eukaryote. RNAcentral describes it as "partial 18S ribosomal RNA". It matches the Rfam family "Eukaryotic small subunit ribosomal RNA", at positions 1470 to 1796 of the family's 1831-position model. The record is from RNAcentral.